UGCCAUGCCUUUCCACAGCUUUCUUGAACUUCUCUUGUGCCUCACUCACUUUCAUUACUGGAGAGAUAUGCAUCAUCAGUGGAAGCUUAUAGGGAGAGGAGUGCAAGAAGAGGGUCAAGAAAGCUGUGGGAAGAAAUGGCAU
RNAcentral lists this microRNA precursor (142 nucleotides) under Oryza barthii. RNAcentral describes it as "pre miRNA MIR396". The record is from RNAcentral. Lineage: Eukaryota; Viridiplantae; Streptophyta; Magnoliopsida; Poales; Poaceae.